ACUGGGCAUGGUGGUGCAUACCUGUGAUCCCAGCAUCUUGGGAGGCUGAGGCAGGAGGAUCACGAGUUCAAAGCCAGCCUUUGCAGAAGCGAGGUGCUAGGCAACCCAGUGAGACCCUGCCUUUU
RNAcentral lists this small RNA (125 nucleotides) under Marmota monax (woodchuck). Lineage: Eukaryota; Metazoa; Chordata; Mammalia; Rodentia; Sciuridae. The record is from RNAcentral.